This 274-nucleotide long non-coding RNA is filed under the name Monodelphis domestica (gray short-tailed opossum). RNAcentral's name for it is "lncRNA (ENSMODG00000033202.2)". Lineage: Eukaryota; Metazoa; Chordata; Mammalia; Didelphimorphia; Didelphidae. The record is from RNAcentral.
GUACUAGGGAAUCACUGAAUACAUUUGAACAACAAAGUGAUGUGGAUAUACCUCUUUCUUUAGGAUCUGUCAGCUUUUUGGAGGAUGGAGUUGAGAGAGGAGUGACUUGAAGCAUGGAAUCCAAUUAAGAGAUUAUCACAAGAAUCUAGGAUUAUUCUACAUUUGCCUCUGGAAUAUAUGUCUUUUCUCAACAACUUUUAUAAUUUCCUUGAAGGUAGGAAUUUCUUUUUAAUUUUACUUCUUUGAUAUCUCUUAGAACAUCUAGAACCAUGUU